This 630-nucleotide ribosomal RNA is filed under the name Scheffersomyces shehatae. Its description in RNAcentral is "eukaryotic LSU rRNA". It matches the Rfam family "Eukaryotic large subunit ribosomal RNA", at positions 1 to 648 of the family's 3401-position model. RNAcentral also lists the same sequence under 1 other name. Lineage: Eukaryota; Fungi; Ascomycota; Pichiomycetes; Serinales; Debaryomycetaceae. The record is from RNAcentral.
UUGACCUCAAAUCAGGUAGGAUUACCCGCUGAACUUAAGCAUAUCAAUAAGCGGAGGAAAAGAAACCAACAGGGAUUGUCUUAGUAACGGCGAGUGAAGCGACAAAAGCUCAAAUUUGAAAUCUGGCACCUUCGGUGUCCGAGUUGUAAUUUGAAGAAGGUAACUUUGGAGUUGGCUCUUGUCUAUGUUCCUUGGAACAGGACGUCACAGAGGGUGAGAAUCCCGUGCGAUGAGAUGUCCAACUCUAUGUAAAGUGCUUUCGAAGAGUCGAGUUGUUUGGGAAUGCAGCUCUAAGUGGGUGGUAAAUUCCAUCUAAAGCUAAAUAUUGGCGAGAGACCGAUAGCGAACAAGUACAGUGAUGGAAAGAUGAAAAGAACUUUGAAAAGAGAGUGAAAAAGUACGUGAAAUUGUUGAAAGGGAAGGGUUUGAGAUCAGACUUGGUAUUUUGUAUGUCUUGCUUUCGGGUGGGGCCUCUGCAGUUUACUGGGCCAGCAUCGGUUUGGACGGUAGGAUAAUGACAUUGGAAUGUGGCACUACUUCGGUGGUGUGUUAUAGACUUUGUUGAUACUGCCUGUCUAGACCGAGGACUGCGUCUUUGACUAGGAUGCUGGCAUAAUGAUCCUAAACCGC